This 468-nucleotide ribosomal RNA is filed under the name uncultured bacterium. RNAcentral's name for it is "partial 16S ribosomal RNA". It matches the Rfam family "Bacterial small subunit ribosomal RNA", at positions 28 to 507 of the family's 1533-position model. The record is from RNAcentral.
GACGAACGCUGGCGGCGUGCUUAACACAUGCAAGUCGAACGGAAAGGCCCUGCUUUUGUGGGGUGCUCGAGUGGCGAACGGGUGAGUAACACGUGAGUAACCUGCCCUUGACUUUGGGAUAACUUCAGGAAACUGGGGCUAAUACCGGAUAGGAGCUCCUGCUGCAUGGUGGGGGUUGGAAAGUUUCGGCGGUUGGGGAUGGACUCGCGGCUUAUCCGCUUGUUGGUGGGGUAGUGGCUUACCAAGGCUUUGACGGGUAGCCGGCCUGAGAGGGUGACCGGCCACAUUGGGACUGAGAUACGGACCAGACUCCUACGGGAGGCAGCAGUGGGGAAUAUGGCACAAUGGGCGGAAGCCUGAUGCAGCAACGCCGCGUGCGGGAUGACGGCCUUCGGGUUGUAAACCGCUUUCGCCUGUGACGAAGCGUGAGUGACGGUAAUGGGUAAAGAAGCACCGGCUAACUACGUG